UAAGAUUUGAGUUAGAGUU
Molecule: microRNA, 19 nt
Filed under: Ananas comosus (pineapple)
Lineage: Eukaryota; Viridiplantae; Streptophyta; Magnoliopsida; Poales; Bromeliaceae
Description: microRNA s1295_c032b
Source: RNAcentral